RNAcentral lists this ribosomal RNA (253 nucleotides) under uncultured bacterium. Its description in RNAcentral is "partial 16S ribosomal RNA". It matches the Rfam family "Bacterial small subunit ribosomal RNA", at positions 524 to 776 of the family's 1533-position model. The record is from RNAcentral.
UACGAAGGUCCCAAGCGUUAUCCGGAUUUAUUGGGUUUAAAGGGUGCGUAGGCGGUCAAAUAAGUCAGUUGUGAAAUACGGCAGCUCAACUGUCGAGGUGCAAUUGAUACUGUUUGACUUGAGUACUGUUGAGGUAGGCGGAAUGGACGGUGUAGCGGUGAAAUGCUUAGAGAUCGUCCAGAACACCGAUAGCGAAGGCAGCUUACUAAAGAGUAACUGACGCUGAGGCACGAAAGUGUGGGGAUCAAACAGG